RNAcentral lists this ribosomal RNA (465 nucleotides) under uncultured bacterium. RNAcentral's name for it is "partial 16S ribosomal RNA". It matches the Rfam family "Bacterial small subunit ribosomal RNA", at positions 338 to 795 of the family's 1533-position model. The record is from RNAcentral.
CCUACGGGAGGCUGCAGUGGGGAAUAUUGCGCAAUGGGCGAAAGCCUGACGCAGCGACGCCGCGUGAGGGAUGAAGGUCCUCGGAUUGUUAAACUCCGUUAGCAGGGAAGCACGGUCACUGUGCUAAUCCGCAGUGAAUUGACGGUACCUGCAAAGGAAGCACCGGCUAACUCCGUCCCAGCAGCCGCGGUAAUACGGAGGGUGCGAGCCUUAAUCGGAAUUACUGGGCGUAAAGCGCUCGUAGGCGGUAUGUCAAGUCUAGGGUGAAAUCCCCGGGCUCAACCUGGGAACGGCCUUUGAAACUGGGAAACUGGAGUGUGUGAGAGGAUAGUGGAAUUCGAGGUGUAGGAGUGAAAUGCGUAGAGAUCGGGAGGAACAUUAGUGGCGAAGGCGACUAUCUGGCACAUAACUGACGCUGAGGAGCGAAAGCGUGGGUAGCAAACAGGAUUAGAUACCCGAGUAGUC